This 253-nucleotide ribosomal RNA is filed under the name uncultured bacterium. Its description in RNAcentral is "partial 16S ribosomal RNA". It matches the Rfam family "Bacterial small subunit ribosomal RNA", at positions 524 to 776 of the family's 1533-position model. The record is from RNAcentral.
UACGUAGGGGGCAAGCGUUGUUCGGAAUUACUGGGCGUAAAGCGCACGUAGGCGGCUUUGUAAGUUAGAGGUGAAAGCCCGGGGCUCAACUCCGGAAUUGCCUUUAAGACUGCAUCGCUAGAAUUGUGGAGAGGUAAGCGGAAUUCCGAGUGUAGAGGUGAAAUUCGUAGAUAUUCGGAAGAACACCAGUGGCGAAGGCGACUUACUGGACACAUAUUGACGCUGAGGUGCGAAAGCGUGGGGAGCAAACAGG